GACGAACGCUGGCGGCGUGCUUAACACAUGCAAGUCGAACGGUGAAGCGCCUUCCUUUUUGGUGGGUGUGGAUGAGUGGCGAACGGGUGAGUAACACGUGAGUAACCUGCCCCCUUCUUCUGGAUAACCGCAUGAAAGUGUGGCUAAUACGGGAUAUUCUGGGUCUGUCGCAUGAUGGGUCUGGGAAAGAUAUUGUUUCGGUGGGGGAUGGGCUCGCGGCCUAUCAGCUUGUUGGUGGGGUGAUGGCCUACCAAGGCGGUGACGGGUAGCCGGCCUGAGAGGGUGGACGGUCACACUGGGACUGAGACACGGCCCAGACUCCUACGGGAGGCGGCAGUGGGGAAUAUUGCACAAUGGGCGCAAGCCUGAUGCAGCGACGCCGCGUGAGGGAUGGAGGCCUGCGGGUUGUGAACCUCUUUCGCCAGUGAAGCAGGCCUGCCUCGUUUGUGGGUGGGUUGACGGUAGCUGGAGAAGAAGCGCCGGCUAACUACGUG
RNAcentral lists this ribosomal RNA (494 nucleotides) under uncultured bacterium. RNAcentral describes it as "partial 16S ribosomal RNA". It matches the Rfam family "Bacterial small subunit ribosomal RNA", at positions 28 to 507 of the family's 1533-position model. The record is from RNAcentral.